UGUAUGCACGUAUGACUAAGUCGCUUUGGAUAAAAGCGUCUGCUAAAUUGUAAAUG
Molecule: non-coding RNA, 56 nt
Organism: Salmo salar (Atlantic salmon)
Lineage: Eukaryota; Metazoa; Chordata; Actinopteri; Salmoniformes; Salmonidae
Source: Rfam